UAAAAUUGCAUGUUGUUACUUAAUCCUCAUGCACAUUGAUCUUGUUUUAUGCCUCUUUAAGGCGGUGGUUCAGCGUGAUGGCAACAAGCUGAUGGUUAGCCUGAAGGGAAUUGAGUCUGUCACAGAACUGGUGGAUGGAAACACAAUUGUCAAUACUAUGACUCUUGGCAGCAUUGUGUACAAGAGGACCAGCAAACUCAUGUAAAUAUGUGCAUAUGGGAUAAUAAAAACGGUAACAUAAAAAGCAGCACUAUCUUGAUUUCUGAGGACUUUUAGAAACUGCUUGUUGCUUUUGUGUACUGGAACAAAAGGAGAGCUGUAAGAUCAUGGGACUGGAUGCCUGUUGUGAGGGUGACGUGUUUAGAAUUAGCUAAAGGCCACUUUAAACUUGACUGCAGGAUGACAUGCGCUAAUGACAUGAGCAUCAUGUGCUGGGGGGGGGGGCGAAUCAACUUUUUAUUUUUUAUUUUUUUUGUUUUCUUGUUUUUUACUCCUUGCAGAACAUGACAAAUUGUUUUAGCACUUCACACACAAGCCAACGAGAUGAGCGUCUUAACCUAUUUCAAAAUGAACUGCUGCAAUCAAACCACCCUUUUUCAAAAUGGCACUUGUGCAACAAAAUGAUUCACUGGUACAGUAUGAAUUAUUUUGCAGAAACACACUGACUAACUUCAUACCAAAUGCUGCUGUCUUAUUCCUCAUACAGGCAUUUCAGGAAAAUAUGAAUAAAAUGCUUUUGUUUUAUUUUUGCAAUUGCAUGUUUUCACAACAGACAGAAGUAGAAUUAAUGGCUUAUUGUAAAAUGCCUGCAAUGGAAAUUAUGGUUUUGGACCCUGCCUUCUGUUGGGGUCUGGCCGCAUCGCCUCCUCCACAGUACACGCAAUGUUGUUCGUGUGAGGUAACUUGAGGUCUUUCUAGUGCUGAGGGUCACAUUGAUUUGUGUUCAAUUAAUGAUUGCUUGUAUCUGUGUUGCCAAUUCAAGGAGCCUGAUAAGUGUUUCCCAAAAUGUUAUUUAUGUUCUAUACUGCUAAAACAACCUGGGGUCAAAUUGAUCCCAAAGAACACUGUGUACAGGACAUUGAAAACAUGGUAAUUUUAUGUUUACCCAGUUGUCCCCAUUAAAUUAGGAAAAGUCAUGAAAUAUGACGCAAAACAAAUGUCAAUUUAUUUGGAGAUGUUAAACAUUGAGGUCAACUUGAUCCCAAAAGUAACAGGAGGGUUAAAUGACAAAACAUCAAACCUGACAAUUGGGAAUGAACAGCCUCACCUUACUGAAUGAAAUGAUGUAAAGUGUUUCGUCUCUCAGCUCUCUGUAUAUAUGUGUAUAUAUAUAUGGUUUGGUCUCCCCCAGCUCCCUCUGACCUUGUUUCCAUAAUAAAAGUUGAGGGAAACAGAUUAUGAAAACAAAUCUUUCUAACAAAU
Anarrhichthys ocellatus (wolf-eel) is the source of this 1422-nucleotide long non-coding RNA. RefSeq lists it as uncharacterized. The transcript has 2 exons. Lineage: Eukaryota; Metazoa; Chordata; Actinopteri; Perciformes; Anarhichadidae. The record is from RefSeq and is a predicted model, not a curated record.